AACUUCCCUCCUUCGGAUCUGUAGUCGAGAAACGUGUGUUACGUAGUUUCGCGAUUCCGGUGUGUUUUUUCGGAUAAUUAGAUAAAUAACGCUGUAAUUAAGAUAAUUGUUCGCAAAUUAGGUUAUUAUUCUAUCGCGGUAAUGUAAAUUUUAUAGAAAUUGAUCGACGUUUCGGGAGAUAAAUGGACUCGAAUCAGUACAGAUCAACAGAUGUGAUCAAAGAAGAUUUCCAGUAAAGUAGCUGCUGAAUCAUAUUCAUACUUCAGUUUAUUCAAUAACUUUCAAAUUUCAAGUUCUUCGAAGGAAAAACUGCUCAGCUAGGAAAUUUCAUCGUAUUUUUACCAGGUAAUUGAACUGUAAUCUAUGAACCUCUCUCUGUAGUCAAUACAAUGCAAACCGAUCGGUUCGGUUCAUCUUUACAACUUCUAUCGCUGCAACUUUGUGUUCGUCUGUAAACACAAUGUAAGUUCAAGUAGUCACAAUCGGUUCACCGGAGUGAAUGAUUGAUGAAUGAAAACUACACCAGACUGCUUGGUCGUUACAAAUACCUACUCUCUUGUGGAAAACGAAUUCAUAUUUUCGGUUCGUCACUAACGACAAACUCAGCUGGAAGCUUGAGCACUGCUGAAUAAAAAAU
Long non-coding RNA from Planococcus citri (citrus mealybug), 637 nucleotides. RefSeq lists it as uncharacterized. The transcript is spliced from 3 exons. The record is from RefSeq and is a predicted model, not a curated record. Lineage: Eukaryota; Metazoa; Arthropoda; Insecta; Hemiptera; Pseudococcidae.